UCUGCCCCUAGAGGUGUUGCAGGUGUGGCUGCUGUGUCACAGGUGCAUCAGUGGGUGACAGAGAGGAGAGAGGCUAUGUCUACAUUGAGUGUUCUGACCUGUGACCAUCUGAAUGAUUAGUAGCCUAACAUU
Acomys russatus (golden spiny mouse) is the source of this 132-nucleotide small nucleolar RNA. RefSeq annotates it as small nucleolar RNA SNORA17. The transcript has a single exon. NCBI's taxonomy places the organism in Eukaryota, Metazoa, Chordata, Mammalia, Rodentia, Muridae. The record is from RefSeq and is a predicted model, not a curated record.